This 497-nucleotide ribosomal RNA is filed under the name uncultured bacterium. RNAcentral describes it as "partial 16S ribosomal RNA". It matches the Rfam family "Bacterial small subunit ribosomal RNA", at positions 28 to 507 of the family's 1533-position model. The record is from RNAcentral.
GAUGAACGCUGGCGGCGUGCCUAAUACAUGCAAGUCGAGCGAACGGACGAGAAGCUUGCUUCUCUGAUGUUAGCGGCGGACGGGUGAGUAACACGUGGAUAACCUACCUAUAAGACUGGGAUAACUUCGGGAAACCGGAGCUAAUACCGGAUGAUAUUUUGAACCGCAUGGUUCAAAAGUGAAAGACGGUCUUGCUGUCACUUAUAGAUGGAUCCGCGCUGCAUUAGCUAGUUGGUAAGGUAACGGCUUACCAAGGCAACGAUGCAUAGCCGACCUGAGAGGGUGAUCGGCCACACUGGAACUGAGGCACGGUCCAGACUCCUACGGGAGGCAGCAGUAGGGAAUCUUCCGCAAUGGGCGAAAGCCUGACGGAGCAACGCCGCGUGAGUGAUGAAGGUCUUCGGAUCGUAAAACUCUGUUAUUAGGGAAGAACAUAUGUGUAAGUAACUGUGCACAUCUUGACGGUACCUAAUCAGAAAGCCACGGCUAAUUACGUG